Molecule: unclassified non-coding RNA, 577 nt
Filed under: Ceratobasidium sp. 2034 CG-2012
Lineage: Eukaryota; Fungi; Basidiomycota; Agaricomycetes; Cantharellales; Ceratobasidiaceae
Description: sequence contains ITS1, 5.8S rRNA gene, ITS2
Rfam family: 5.8S ribosomal RNA (bases 189-342)
Source: RNAcentral
UAUUGAAUCAAUCUAGAGUUGGUUGUUGCUGGCCUCUAGGCAUGUGCACACCUUCUCUUUCAUCCACACACACACCUGUGCACUUGUGAGAUGGAGGGCCAGAAAUUUUAUUUCUGGCCUGCCAUCUGCUAUUACACAAACUCAAUUUAAUUUAAACUGAAUGUAAUUGAUGUAACACAUCUAAUACAAAGUUUCAACAACGGAUCUCUUGGCUCUCGCAUCGAUGAAGAACGCAGCGAAAUGCGAUAAGUAAUGUGAAUUGCAGAAUUCAGUGAAUCAUCGAAUCUUUGAACGCAUCUUGCACUCCUUGGUAUUCCUUGGAGCAUGCCUGUUUGAGUAUCAUGAAAUUCUCAAAGUAAAAUAUUUUGUUAAUUCAAUUGGUUUACUUUGGAUUUGGAGGCUUUGCAGAUUUUACAAUCUGCUCCUCUUGAAUGUAUUAGCUGGAUCUCAGUAUAUACUUGGUUCCACUCAGUGUGAUAAGCUAUCACUCACUGAGGACACCCGUAAAAAGGUGGCCAAGCAAUACAGAUGAACUGCUUCUAAUAGUCUAUUAAAAUAGACAAUUAAUUUCAAGAUC